RNA transcript from Propithecus coquereli (Coquerel's sifaka), 2111 nucleotides. It is a transcript of the gene named ubiquitin associated and SH3 domain containing A, with no coding region annotated. Lineage: Eukaryota; Metazoa; Chordata; Mammalia; Primates; Indriidae. The record is from RefSeq and is a predicted model, not a curated record. The transcript has 14 exons.
AGCCCCGCCACUCUGCCCGGCUUUAUCUCCCGCCUGCAGCGAGCGCAGACGAGCGAGCCUCUCGCACCUCGGCAGGAAGAGAUGGCAGCGGGGGAGACGCAGCUCUACGCCAAGGUCUCCAACAAGCUCCGGGGCCGCAGCACCCCCUCGCUCCUGGACCCCCUCCUGGCCAUGGGCUUCCCGGCGCACACCGCGCUGAAGGCGUUGGCAGCCACGGGCAGGAAGACGGCGGAGGAGGCGGAGGACUGGCUGCAUUGCCAUCGCAAUGACCCUUCCCUGGACGACCCCAUCCCCCAAGAGUAUGCCCUUUUCCUCUGCCCCACGGGGGCCCUGCUGGACAAACUUCAGGAGUUCUGGAGGGAGAGCAAGCGUCAGUGUGCAAAGAAUAGAGCCCAUGAGGUCUUCCCCCACGUCACACUCUGUGACUUCUUCACGUGUGAAGACCAGAAGGUGGAAUGCCUGUACGAGGCCCUGAAGAGAGCCGGGGACAGGGUCCUGGGCGCCUUCCCGCCGGCCGUCCCGCUGGUGCUCCACUCCUCCAUCAGCUACCUCGGCUUCUUCCUCAGCGGCAGCCCCGCCGACGUCAUCCGGGAAUUUGCGGUGACCUUUGCCACCGAAGCCUCUGUCUUAGCAGACUGCGCCGUGAAGCCCUGCACCAAGCAGCUGCACCUGACCCUGGCCCACAAGUUCUACCCCCACCACCAGCGGACGCUGGAGCAGCUGGCCAGAGCCGUCCACCCCGGCCACGGCUGCCAGUGGACCGCGGCACUCUACUCCCGGGACAUGCGCUUCGUGCACUACCAGACCCUGAGGGCCCUAUUCCAGUACAAACCCCAGAACGCGGACGAGCUCACGCUGAGUCCGGGCGACUACAUCUUUGUGGACCCCACUCAGCAGGAGGAAGCCAGCGAGGGCUGGGUGAUCGGGGUCUCCCAGAGGACGGGCCGCCGGGGCUUCCUGCCGGAAAACUACACGGACCGAGCCAGCGAGGCUGACACCUGGGUGAAGCACAGGACGUACACCUUCAGCCUGGCCACGGACCUGAACUCCAGAAAGGACGGUGAAGGCGGCAGCAGACAAAAUGCAGAAUUUCAUCCUCCACAAACGUCGAUGAGUCUCAGCAGCCUACAGGCUCCGCAGGCCACAGCGGCGAGGAGGAGCGUGCUGGUGGUGCGCCACGGGGAGAGAGUGGACCAGAUCUUCGGGAAGUCGUGGCUGCAGCAGUGUUCCACUCCCGACGGAAAAUACUACAGGCCAGACCUGAACUUCCCCUGCAGCCUGCCCCGACGGAGCAACGGCAUCAAAGGCUUCGAAAGCGACCCGCCGUUGUCGUCCUGCGGAGUUUUCCAGUCCAGAAUCGCAGGGGCCGCGCUGCUGGACACUGGUGUCAGAGUGACCUCUGUGUUCGCCUCCCCAGCCCUCCGCUGUGUGCAGACGGCCAAACUCAUCCUGGAAGAACUCAAGCUGGAGAAAAAAAUUAAGAUAAGAGUGGAACCCGGAAUCUUUGAAUGGACAAAAUGGGAGGCAGGCAAAGCCACCCCAACCCUCAUGAGCCCGGAAGAGCUGAAGGAAGCGAACUUCCCCGUGGACACUGAUUACAGUUUUGAGCACAAAACUGGAGCCUCCUAUCGACCUCAGUCCUGCCUCCAGGCAGAGCCAUCUUGGAAGAACAUUCCCCUUCCCUGCUAACCGCAGCUGUGCAAUCCUGACCCUGCCAUCGGGCCAGGGUGGCAGCCUUCCCCCUCUGUCCCCGCAGGCCUGCGUUUCCCCUCUCCUGCCUCCUGCCAGCUGAGAGCUAUGGCGAGUACGUGGACAGGUGCACAGCAAGCAUGAGCCGGAUCGUCAACACCUGCCCACAGGACACGGGCAUCAUCCUGAUCGUGAGCCACGGCUCGGCGCUGGACUCCUGCACGCGGCCGCUCCUGGGGCUGCCGCCCCGGGACUGCGGGGAUUUCGCCCAGUUAGUGAGAAAGAUCCCUUCCCUGGGCAUGUGCUUCUGCGAGGAACACAGAGAGGAAGGGAAAUGGGAGCUGGUGAACCCGCCCGUGAAGACCCUGACUCACGGCUCCAACUCGGCGUUUAACUGGCGGAACUGGGUCCUCGGCAACUGA